AGAAAAUAGGAUAAAAAAUAUUCUGGCCAGGUGGGGUAGCUCACACCUGUAAUCCCAGCACUUUGGGAGGCCGAGGCAGAUCAUCUGAUGUCGGGAGUUCAAGACCAG
Sapajus apella (tufted capuchin) is the source of this 108-nucleotide long non-coding RNA. RefSeq lists it as uncharacterized. The transcript has 3 exons. Lineage: Eukaryota; Metazoa; Chordata; Mammalia; Primates; Cebidae. The record is from RefSeq and is a predicted model, not a curated record.